AACGUAGGAGACAAACGUUAUCCGGAGUUACUGGGCGUAAAGCGCGUGUAGGCGGCAGCGUGUGUCGGGCGUGAAAUCCCACGGCUCAACCGUGGAAGUGCACUCGAAACUGCGCAGCUAGAGUCCUGGAGAGGAAGGUGGAAUGCUUGGUGUAGAGGUAAAAUUCGUAGAUAUCAAGCGGAACACCGGUGGCGAAGGCGGCCUUCUGGACAGUGACUGACGCUGAGACGCGAAAGCGUGGGGAGCAAACAGG
Molecule: ribosomal RNA, 253 nt
Filed under: uncultured bacterium
Lineage: Bacteria
Description: partial 16S ribosomal RNA
Rfam family: Bacterial small subunit ribosomal RNA
Source: RNAcentral